RNAcentral lists this transfer RNA (83 nucleotides) under Nocardia panacis. Its description in RNAcentral is "Nocardia sp. YIM PH 21724 tRNA-Val". Lineage: Bacteria; Bacillati; Actinomycetota; Actinomycetes; Mycobacteriales; Nocardiaceae. The record is from RNAcentral.
AGUCACAUUCGUGCAGGUAAACCAGAAUCGAUGUCCGCCUCACACGCGGAAGGUCGCUGGUUCGAUCCCAGCUGGGACCACCA